UGAUGAUGAUGAUGAUGAUGACGAUGAUGACAAUGACUUCUUCCAUUCUCACACAAUAUCAUCAUCAUCACCACCAUUUCAC
This 82-nucleotide microRNA precursor is filed under the name Bigelowiella natans CCMP2755. RNAcentral's name for it is "miRNA EPrBNAG00000013259". Lineage: Eukaryota; Cercozoa; Chlorarachniophyceae. The record is from RNAcentral.